GGCUGGUCCUAUGGUAAUAAGUUAUCAGAAUUUAUUAACAUUAAUGUCAUUAAAGUUGGUAUACAACCCCCACUGCUAAAUUUGACUGAAAA
Macaca nemestrina (pig-tailed macaque) is the source of this 92-nucleotide unclassified non-coding RNA. It matches the Rfam family "Y RNA". From Rfam's summary of the family: Y RNAs are components of the Ro ribonucleoprotein particle (Ro RNP), in association with Ro60 and La proteins. The Y RNAs and Ro60 and La proteins are well conserved, but the function of the Ro RNP is not known. Lineage: Eukaryota; Metazoa; Chordata; Mammalia; Primates; Cercopithecidae. The record is from Ensembl.